GGAGGAUCAUUAUCGUAGGGCUUCGGCCCUGUCGAGAUAGAACCCUUGCCUUUUUGAGUACCUUUCGUUUCCUCGGCAGGCUCGCCUGCCAAUGGGGACCACAAAAAACACUUUGCAGUACCUGUAACAGUCUGAACAAACAAAACAAAAAUUAAAACUUUCAACAACGGAUCUCUUGGUUCUGGCAUCGAUGAAGAACGCAGCGAAAUGCGAUAAGUAGUGUGAAUUGCAGAAUUCAGUGAAUCAUCGAAUCUUUGAACGCACAUUGCGCCCUUUGGUAUUCCUUAGGGCAUGCCUGUUCGAGCGUCAUUUAAACCUUCAAGCUAAGCUUGGUGUUGGGUGACUGUCCGCUUCACUGCGGACUCGCCCCAAAAUUAUUGGCGGCCGGUACAUUGGCUUCGAGCGCAGCAGAAACGCGAACUCGGGCCCGUCGUAUUGGCUCCCAGAAGCUAUCUUCACAAUUUUGACCUCGGAUCAGGUAGGGAUACCCGCUGAACUUAAGCAUAUCAAUAAGCGGAGGA
RNAcentral lists this ribosomal RNA (521 nucleotides) under uncultured Pleosporales. RNAcentral describes it as "eukaryotic LSU rRNA". The stretch from base 156 to 309 matches the Rfam family "5.8S ribosomal RNA". The record is from RNAcentral. Lineage: Eukaryota; Fungi; Ascomycota; Dothideomycetes; Pleosporales.